GAUGAACGCUGGCGGCGUGCCUAAUACAUGCAAGUCGAACGCAUUGUGGUUGAAAUGAUAUGAAGAACUUGUUCAGAUUUGAUUUUCAACAUUGCAAUGAGUGGCGAACGGGUGAGUAACACGUGGGAAACCUACCUCUUAGCAGGGGAUAACAUUUGGAAACAAAUGCUAAUACCGUAUAAUAAUUAAAACCGCAUGGUUUAGUUCAAAAGAUGGUCUUGCUAUCACUAAGAGAUGGUCCCGCGGUGUAUUAGUUAGUUGGUGAGGUAAUGGCUCACCAAGACAAUGAUACAUAGCCGAGUUGAGAGACUGACCGGCCACAAUGGGACUGAGACACGGCCCAUACUCCUACGGGAGGCAGCAGUAGGGAAUCUUCCACAAUAGGACGAAAAGUCUGAUGGAG
This 403-nucleotide ribosomal RNA is filed under the name uncultured bacterium. RNAcentral describes it as "bacterial SSU rRNA". It matches the Rfam family "Bacterial small subunit ribosomal RNA", at positions 28 to 391 of the family's 1533-position model. The record is from RNAcentral.